AUCAGGGAGGAACAGCCUUUUCUCCAGGCUGCCUCCUCCUGACUCUAGCGCCACCUACUGGCUGUUCACCAGAGGUGGAGAAAGAACUCAAACAAUGUACUGAAGUAAAAGUACAAAUAAACAGACAAAAAUGUUCUCUAGUAAAAGAACCACAUUAACAUUUUUACUUGAGCAAAUGUAAGAAAGCAUGAAAAAUAUGUUUAAUAUCUGCUGAAGUUGUUUUAAAACCUGACAAACGAGCCUCAUGGGAACCAAUAUUCUAAUUUAUUGAAUAUGACUGUAAAUGUAAAUAUGAGAUGGAGAUUAUUCACAUUAAUUCAGUAACCAGGAUGUGGAGGAGUUUAACGUUACUGGGACAUUCAUGGCAGGAGACGCUGCGCUCCAUGCGCCCCGACCGCAGUAAUCAAUGUUACUGCCAGUUCAGCUGCUUACAACUAUUUAAUUGUUUUAUUUAUUGCAGUCGAUUUAAACUAGAAGCUGGUAAGAUUACAUAAAACUUCUCUAACCUAAAUCAAUUUAACAUCCAAAACUCAGACAGCGUUUAGCAGCUUAACUUUCCUCGAUAUGUUUUUCAGAUUUGAUGGUGAAUUUUUGAAAGCUAGCAGUUCAUGAUAUCAGGGAGGCAAAGGCGGCACCAGAAUCAUUGAUUACUUUCAAACUAACCAACAAAUCAAAAA
Long non-coding RNA from Xiphophorus couchianus (Monterrey platyfish), 677 nucleotides. RefSeq lists it as uncharacterized. The transcript is spliced from 2 exons. NCBI's taxonomy places the organism in Eukaryota, Metazoa, Chordata, Actinopteri, Cyprinodontiformes, Poeciliidae. The record is from RefSeq and is a predicted model, not a curated record.